RNAcentral lists this transfer RNA (73 nucleotides) under Ovis aries (sheep). It matches the Rfam family "tRNA". Rfam says of the family: Transfer RNA (tRNA) molecules are approximately 80 nucleotides in length. Their secondary structure includes four short double-helical elements and three loops (D, anti-codon, and T loops). Further hydrogen bonds mediate the characteristic L-shaped molecular structure. tRNAs have two regions of fundamental functional importance: the anti-codon, which is responsible for specific mRNA codon recognition, and the 3' end, to which the tRNAs corresponding amino acid is attached (by aminoacyl-tRNA synthetases). tRNAs cope with the degeneracy of the genetic code in two manners: having more than one tRNA (with a specific anti-codon) for a particular amino acid; and 'wobble' base-pairing, i.e. permitting non-standard base-pairing at the 3rd anti-codon position. The record is from Rfam by way of RNAcentral. Lineage: Eukaryota; Metazoa; Chordata; Mammalia; Artiodactyla; Bovidae.
UCCCUGAUGGCCCAGUGGCUAAGGCUUUGUGCUUUCAACGCAGGGGGCAUGGGUUUGAUUCCUGGCUGGGGAA